RNAcentral lists this ribosomal RNA (439 nucleotides) under uncultured bacterium. Its description in RNAcentral is "partial 16S ribosomal RNA". It matches the Rfam family "Bacterial small subunit ribosomal RNA", at positions 339 to 795 of the family's 1533-position model. The record is from RNAcentral.
CUACGGGUGGCAGCAGUGAGGAAUAUUGCACAAUGGGGGGAACCCUGAUGCAGCAACGCCGCGUGGAGGAUGACGCAUUUCGGUGUGUAAACUCCUUUUAUAUGUCAAGAAAAUGACGGUAGCAUAUGAAUAGGCACCGGCUAACUCCGUGCUAGCAGCCGCGGUAAUACGGAGGGUGCAAGCGUUACUCGGAAUCACUGGGCGUAAAGGACGCGUAGGCGGGUUGGAAAGUCAGGUGUGAAAUCCUACAGCUUAACUGUAGAACUGCACUUGAAACUUCUAAUCUAGAGUAUGGGAGGGGGAGAUGGAAUUAGUGGUGUAGGGGUAAAAUCCGUAGAUAUCACCAGGAAUACCUAAAGCGAAGGCGAUCUCCUGGAACAUUACUGACGCUAAGGCGUGAAAGCGUGGGGAGCAAACAGGAUUAGAUACCCCCGUAGUC